Molecule: ribosomal RNA, 222 nt
Filed under: uncultured bacterium
Lineage: Bacteria
Description: partial 16S ribosomal RNA
Rfam family: Bacterial small subunit ribosomal RNA
Source: RNAcentral
UAAUAUAUCGGAACGUACCCUGGAGUGGGGGAUAACGUAGCGAAAGUUACGCUAAUACCGCAUACGAUCUAAGGAUGAAAGUGGGGGAUCCGCAAGGACCUCAUGCUCCUGGAGCGGCCGAUAUCUGAUUAGCUAGUUGGUGGGGUAAAGGCCUACCAAGGCAUCGAUCAGUAGCUGGUCUGAGAGGACGACCAGCCACACUGGGACUGAGACACGGCCCAG